AGUGGCAGACGAGCGAGUAAUAUGCACUUAACUUGCCCUUGAGAUGAGAACAACUAUGGAGACAUAGCUAAUUCUCAAUAUGCUCACGAUGGUGAAAUCCCAAUGUGAGGAAAGAUUUAUCGCUCAAGGAGAGGGGUGUAUCCUAUCAGGUAGUUGGUAAGGUAACGGCUUACCAAGCCUAUGACGGGUAGCCGGUUUGAGAUGAUGAUCGGCCGCGAUGGGACUGAGACACGGCCCAUACUCCUACGGGAGGCAGCAGUGGGGAAUAUUGCACAAUGGACGAAAGUCUGAUGCAGCGAUUCUGCGUGGAGGAUGAAGCAUUACGGUGUGUAAACUCCUUUUCUGGUAGAAGACGAAUGACGGUAUACCAGGAAUAAGGGACGGCUAACUAUGUGCCAGCAGCCGCGGUAAUACAUAGGUCCCAAGCGUUAUCCGGAUUUACUGGGCGUAAAGAGUCUGUAGCCGGAUAUAUAAGUCUGUUUUCAAAUACUCCGACUCAAUCGGAGAAAGGGGAUAGAUACUGUAUAUCUGGAAGUUAUUGGGGGUUAGUGGAAUUUCCGGUGGAGCGGUGAAAUGCGUUGAUAUCGGAAAGAACGCCGAAAGUGAAAACAGCUAACUACAAUAAACUUGACGGUCAAAGACGAAAGCUUGGGGAGCAAACGGGAUUAGAUACCCCGGUAGUCCAAGCUGUAAAUUAUGUUCACUCGCUGUUUGCGAUAUACUGUAAGCGGCUAAGCGAAAGCAUAAGUGACCCACCUGGGGAGUACGAUCGCAAGGUGNAAACUCAAAGGAAUUGACGGGGGCCCGCACAAGCGGUGGAGCAUGUGGUUUAAUUCGAUGAUACGCGAGGAACCUUACCCGGGCUUGAAAUGCAUUUGACCGACUCAGAAAAGGGUCUUCCCUUCGGGGCAAAUGUGUAGGUGCUGCAUGGUUGUCGUCAGCUCGUGCCGUGAGGUGUCGGCUUAAGUGCCAUAACGAGCGCAACCCUCAUCAUUAGUUACUAACAGGUUAAGCUGAGGACUCUAGUGAGACUGCCAUCGUAAGAUGCGAGGAAGGUGGGGAUGACGUCAAAUCAGCACGGCCCUUAUGUCCGGGGCGACACACGUGUUACAAUGGAUGGUACAACAGGCAGCUACUUGGCGACAAGAUGCUAAUCCCGAAAACCAUUCUCAGUUCGGAUCGAAGUCUGCAACUCGACUUCGUGAAGCUGGAUUCGCUAGUAAUCGCGCAUCAGCCAUGGCGCGGUGAAUACGUUCCCGGGCCUUGCACUCACCGCCCGUCA
This 1282-nucleotide ribosomal RNA is filed under the name uncultured bacterium. RNAcentral describes it as "partial 16S ribosomal RNA". It matches the Rfam family "Bacterial small subunit ribosomal RNA", at positions 94 to 1399 of the family's 1533-position model. The record is from RNAcentral.